AACGUAGGUCACAAGCGUUGUUCGGAAUUACUGGGUGUAAAGGGAGCGCAGGCGGGAAGACAAGUUGGAAGUGAAAUCCAUGGGCUCAACCCAUGAACUGCUUUCAAAACUGUUUUUCUUGAGUAGUGCAGAGGUAGGCGGAAUUCCCGGUGUAGCGGUGGAAUGCGUAGAUAUCGGGAGGAACACCAGUGGCGAAGGCGGCCUACUGGGCACCAACUGACGCUGAGGCUCGAAAGUGUGGGUAGCAAACAGG
RNAcentral lists this ribosomal RNA (253 nucleotides) under Faecalibacterium prausnitzii. RNAcentral's name for it is "partial 16S ribosomal RNA". It matches the Rfam family "Bacterial small subunit ribosomal RNA", at positions 524 to 776 of the family's 1533-position model. The record is from RNAcentral. Lineage: Bacteria; Bacillati; Bacillota; Clostridia; Eubacteriales; Oscillospiraceae.